This 253-nucleotide ribosomal RNA is filed under the name uncultured bacterium. RNAcentral's name for it is "partial 16S ribosomal RNA". It matches the Rfam family "Bacterial small subunit ribosomal RNA", at positions 524 to 776 of the family's 1533-position model. The record is from RNAcentral.
UACGAAGGGGGCUAGCGUUGUUCGGAUUUACUGGGCGUAAAGCGCACGUAGGCGGACCGUUAAGUGAGGGGUGAAAUCCCAGGGCUCAACCCUGGAACUGCCUUUCAUACUGGCGAUCUCGAGUCCGGAAGAGGUGAGUGGAACUCCUAGUGUAGAGGUGGAAUUCGUAGAUAUUAGGAAGAACACCAGUGGCGAAGGCGGCUCACUGGUCCGGUACUGACGCUGAGGUGCGAAAGCGUGGGGAGCAAACAGG